Molecule: ribosomal RNA, 253 nt
Filed under: uncultured bacterium
Lineage: Bacteria
Description: partial 16S ribosomal RNA
Rfam family: Bacterial small subunit ribosomal RNA
Source: RNAcentral
UACGUAGGGUGCGAGCGUUAAUCGGAAUUACUGGGCGUAAAGUGUGCGCAGGCGGCCGAGCAAGUCGAGUGUGAAAGCCCCGAGCUUAACUUGGGAACUGCGCUCGAAACUACUUGGCUAGAGUGUGGCAGAGGGAGGUGGAAUUCCACGUGUAGCGGUGAAAUGCGUAGAGAUGUGGAGGAACACCGAUGGCGAAGGCAGCCUCCUGGGCCAACACUGACGCUGAGGAGCGAAAGCGUGGGGAGCGAACAGG